This is a non-coding RNA of Aspergillus alliaceus, 97 nucleotides long. NCBI's taxonomy places the organism in Eukaryota, Fungi, Ascomycota, Eurotiomycetes, Eurotiales, Aspergillaceae. The record is from the annotation of a RefSeq genome assembly.
GGCAGGGUGGUCGAGUGGUUAAGACGUUAGACUUGAAUCACCUUUGUGAGAACAUCUAAUACCUUCGGGUUCGCGCGUUCGAAUCGCGUCCCUGUCG